CAUCCUCCGCCCGGCAACCCUCCUCAUCCUCCACAAUCGUUCUUGCUCGACCUGCGUCACCAUUCCUCGUCCGCCUGCGACAGAAACUUAAACUCCCGCAUGGACAGCUAAGUUAGGUUAGGGAUUCCCCCAUUUUGGCUUAUUUGAGUUCAAUUUCGGCCAGAUUUUCUUGCUCCGUCUAUGCCGCAAUUGUUGCUCCGCCUGCGCCGCCAACUCCCGCUCACGGCUGCACAACGAAAUUAGGCCGUCGACUUGGCUCGCUCAACACGGUCCAUCGAAAUCGGAGGCCCAUGAACUAAAUCGGAAGAAUGGUGUUCGUUCAUGUUCGUAGACCAGACCCAUCAACGGAACGGAAAUUAACGGUUCUCCUUCUACACGAGUUAACUCUAUUUUCCGGCGCUUUAAUGAUGGAUUCAUGAUGGACCCUAUUUUUCCUCACUACUUCCAUCCGAGAUUGGACACCUCAUUAUUCAUCCGAGAUGCUCGUUCCAUAUCUUUCUCCCCUUCCGCUUCCUCCUUACUGCACGGUGAGAUGUUUGGCAAAGAGAGGCGGUGACAGGGGAGCAACGCCAACUCAACCCAAUGUUGGUUGACACAUUUCCCAAUAAAUUGCUAAUUGCAAGGAACAAGCUGCUGCAGUAGACGUCUCUUCCUUUGCUCCUGUUGAGGAGUACCCGCCGAUUGUAUGUGCCUGUGAUUCUCUUAAUUUAGGAUUAGGCUCGAUCUGCUCUGACUACAUGAUUCUAAGACAUUACUCCAGGUGCCAUCUAAGGAUUUUGGGCAACAACAAACUGUGACUUGGGCCCAACUGAGCUGGUGUAGAGGUGAUAGUCUAGCUUUGGUCUUGAGGGAGUUGGCUGGCAGGUUGAUUGAUGGCAUGUGCCACAACUCUGGAGGCAGAGGAUCCAACCGUCUAUGUGGCUGUUUUCCCUCCGGCAUAGUGUUGAGCAGCGACCCCUUUUUUUUGAGGGAGGGCGCCAGCCUCUUCUUCUAUCAUAGAGGCAUGACCACAAGAUCAAAACAACUGCAGAACCACAACAAGACUCAUUUGCUUGUUUGUUGAUGAUAUGCUUCGGAUUAAUCUUUCAUUGAGGUUGUUGGUUGGUCCUUAUAUUUCGAGUUGUCGAGACACAAUGAUGUUACUACGAAUAUUUGCACAUUUUGUGUUAGUAGUUGAAAUUGAACACAUUAUACACUAAAGGUACAUGGAUGUUGUUUGAAAAGUCAGAAGGCUACUAUCUGUUUGUAUUGUUGCUUGUCAUAUGUAUUCGAUGGUCAUCU
Long non-coding RNA from Lolium rigidum, 1281 nucleotides. RefSeq lists it as uncharacterized. The record is from RefSeq and is a predicted model, not a curated record. NCBI's taxonomy places the organism in Eukaryota, Viridiplantae, Streptophyta, Magnoliopsida, Poales, Poaceae. The transcript is spliced from 6 exons.